AACGAACGCUGGCGGCAUGCCUAACACAUGCAAGUCGAACGAACUCUUCGGAGUUAGUGGCGCACGGGUGCGUAACGCGUGGGAAUCUGCCCUUGGGUACGGAAUAACUCAGAGAAAUUUGUGCUAAUACCGUAUAAUGACUUCGGUCCAAAGAUUUAUCGCCCAAGGAUGAGCCCGCGUAAGAUUAGCUUGUUGGUGAGGUAAAAGCUCACCAAGGCGACGAUCUUUAGCUGGUCUGAG
RNAcentral lists this ribosomal RNA (240 nucleotides) under Sphingomonas sp. RNAcentral's name for it is "partial 16S ribosomal RNA". It matches the Rfam family "Bacterial small subunit ribosomal RNA", at positions 29 to 296 of the family's 1533-position model. The record is from RNAcentral. Lineage: Bacteria; Pseudomonadati; Pseudomonadota; Alphaproteobacteria; Sphingomonadales; Sphingomonadaceae.